RNAcentral lists this long non-coding RNA (5344 nucleotides) under Sus scrofa (pig). RNAcentral's name for it is "lncRNA (ENSSSCG00065041515.1)". The record is from RNAcentral. Lineage: Eukaryota; Metazoa; Chordata; Mammalia; Artiodactyla; Suidae.
CCAAGAAGAACUUUAUUCCAAGGAAUGGAGCAUAGAGACUUAAAUAGAAAUAAGCACAAAAACCCAAAAAUCAAAAAGUAAAAACAACCCGUGUGGACUUCCCAUUGUGGCUCAGUGGGUUAAGACCCUGACACAGUAUCCGUGAGGAUGUGGGUUCCAUUCCUGGCCUCCCUCAGGGGGUUAAGGAGCCACCCUUGCCGCAAGCUUUGGCAUGGGUCUUCAGGUCCUGCCUGAGCAGGGCUCCUGCGAGCUGAGCUCUGAGCCCACAGGCUGUCCUGCCUGGGGCCUGAGAAGAGUGCCUUUACCCACCUGGGGCUGUGGACACCUGUUGUCCUGGGCCACACCGCACCAGCGUGGCCUGUGGAGGCUUCAGGGCAGCUGCAUGGUCAGUCAGCCGUCGUGGUGACGAGCCAUGCCGCGGGACUGGCCCCCAGCAGGACCCUGCGCACCUCGGUUCACGGGAGCCUCUCUGGCUGGCACUUUUCCGUGCGUGUGUCACUCAAGGUUGCUGGGACAAGUGAGGGCUGGACGUCCUCAGGCUCCCCUGGGACAGGACAGCUGGGAGCUGCCGCCCUGGCUGCUGGACCCUGCCCCACCAGCCUUGACACUGGCCGGUAGACUCCUUAGCUCCAAUCAACCCUAACUCUGAAUCCUUGCUGGAUCCCGUGCGAUCUUCCAAACAAGUCUUGGGGAGCACAACGUGGGGACGUAUGCCCUCUGCUGGCAGAGAGCAUCUGGACUGGGGUGGGGCAGCCUCACACUAAGCUCUGGGGUUAGGGUUAGGGUUAGGGGGUAGGGGGUAGGUGUAGGGUUGGGAGUACAGGGUAGGGGUAGGGUUAGGGUUAGGGUUAGUGUUAGGGGUAGGGGUUAGGGGUAGGGUUGGGAUUGGGCCCAUUUCUUUUCCUCCGGGCUGUAGGUGUUGCCCCCUCUGUGAGGGCGAGCUUUCCUUCCUGCACUCCCGUAGGUUCCGCGGCCACUCCGGUGUGUUAGAGGCAGCAGUGCCUGGGGCAGCUUCAGCGUUUGCAGGGCUGGCGGCAGUUCCAGGCUCUGCCAUGGUGCUUUUCAGGGCGUUCAGCAGCGGGGUGGCGGUAACCAACCGAGACUCCUUCGAAGGCAGCACAUUCCUCCAUUCCAUCCAAACCCUGCCACGUGGCCUGAGGAGCUUCCUGGGCAGCGAGGUGUCGGUGGGGCCUUGAUGUCCCCCUUUGACCCGUCGGGUUUGGGGGCUGAAGAGAUCUUAGGACUCUCAGGGGAACGCCUGAAGGUGGCCGCGCACUUCCAGCCUCGUGGGUUCUCCAGCCCCAAGGCUAAGCCGGGCCGCUCGGAAUGGCUGGCUGUGGAUGGGUCGGUCGGUGCCUCAGACAACCGCAGGGAGGGUGCUUCCUCCGGGACAGACUGGUGGUGGAGAAACGGAUCUGAAGGCGUUGGACGUGGAUGCCCUGCUGGGGUCCAUUACCCGGAAACCACACCAGAUGCACUUUUGGCCACGUUGGACGACACGUGUGAUGUCUUUGAGCCCCCACUCCAGGACCCCCCCCGCCGACGGUGAACCUCCCUGGGCCAUCUCCCGGAAGGGUUACCAGCACCUGACCCGGCUGCCCCUUCAUGUUCUUGCACACUCUCCCCUUCCCCCAGGGGCGCUGUCUUCCACUCCAGAGAAUUCCUUUUAUGGAGCAGAACAAGCUAUAGCAGCCACUCGGUGCCGCCGGAAGAAGAGGGCAGAGCAGGAGGCCCGCACUGGUGAGCCGCGCGAAAAGCUAGGAAAGAAGGAGGCCCCGAGAGAGAAGGCAGAGUCCUUGGCCAAGGUGAUUCAGGAUCUGAAAGAGCUGAUGCAAGGGGUCCCCUGGGCGCAGCGGGAGAGAAGCGCCCCUUGGCCGCCUUGCACAGGGCUGUGCGGGUGCUUGUCCAUAGGCUAGGGCUUUAGCUGUGUGCUGUAAUACAUUAUUUUGCAGUGAAUGCCAAAAAAAAAAAAAAAAAAAAAUGUGGCUCAGCUCCUGCAAGGCAGGUGGGUGGGUGGGAGACCCCAGACCGCGAGGGGCUCCUGGACACCCUGAGCACUCAGUACAAGCAGACACACAGAGCCCCUUCUGCAGGGCCGGGUGGGGCUGGGGGACGCUGGAGGGGAGAUGCUGCCCCGGGGUGGGAUCUGUCCCAGGACCCCCGGGGAAGGGCAGGGCUUGCAGCGGAGGCCCCAGACCUACGUUCGUAAGGGUGGCAGGGCUCCGGGCUUGAGGGCACCAGGCUCUGCUUGGAAACCGAAGUGCUCGCGCUGUCCCCUUCAGGUGGAAAAGGACAAGAAACGUUUCCUGAUUGCCCAGGUGGAUGGCCUGUGCCCUGUCGCGGGAGGACUUCUCGGCUCCGCAAGUCGCACCUCAAGUCAUCUCAGAGUCGACCCCUAGAGGCAGGCGCUAUGAAGACCCCGAGUGCAUGCGGGUCACGUGACCUGCCCCGCAUCCCAGCUGGGUGGUGCUGGGCCUGGACCCCACGUCAGACCGGCUCCCUGGAGAGCUGGGCUCCUCACCGGAGACACCAGCCUGCCCAGAAGACAGCCCCACCCUGGAGACCCCGAACUCCACCCCGAAGACGUGCCCACCCGCCUGGGGACAGGCAAGGCCACGAGCAAGCUGUCCCCACCUGUGGUCUGGCAGUGACCCAGGUCUCACUCCCUCUCCUGGGGCUGAACCCGCCACAAAGCGUGGGAUUUCCCGUGGCAGGUCCUGUGUAACGAAAGCAUCAACGACAGCAGAGACGCAUCUGGGCCGUGGGGACAGAGGACUCGGGACAAGAGCCAUCCCAUCCAGCUGGGGUGUGCCAAGGAGCCGGGCCCGAACAGACUGAGCUCUGCUGAGCUGCUCAGGGGGCCCUUCGGGGGGUCCGGGCCCUGCUCCCCCCACAGAGAAGCAGCUCAGGAGGGGGAGGGGCUGCUGGGAGGGGGCGAGGGAGCCGCAGCAAGGUGGGCCACCGAAGGGGCAUCUUUGGGGAUGUGACAGUAUCUGGGGGCAGGGAGGGGUGGCGGGGGCAGAGUGGACCGGCGUCGGCAGAGAAGGCCCUGAGAACAUCCUGGAAGAGAAAGAAGGGACCCGCAGCACACGUCCAGCCCUCGUGAGUCUUCAUACGUGGGCUCCCAGGGCAGCGGGAGGACAUCGGGACACUGCUGGGGCUGAGACGAUGGGGCCCAGUUCCCCUGACAGCCUGACCCUGCUCCUGCCCUGUAGGGCUCUGCUCUGGCCGAGACGCCGUGCGGACGCUGCGCCCCCAGCCGUCUUCCAACAAGAGCCCUCGCUGCUUGUAAGUCCCUCCCUUCUCUCAGCUUUUACCUAAGAAAUCAGUAAACUGCUUCCCAAAUACCAGAGGAAUCGCAGGCAGAACCUCUCUGGGUGGCUGUUGUCCUCAGCGUCAGUGACGUUUGUCCACUGACUGACUGAUGGGCCGCACCUGGGGCAUGGGGACGUUCCCGGGCCAGGGGUGGAACCCUCGCCACAGUGUGAUAACACCAGGCUCUGAACCCCCUGUGCCACCAGGGAGCUCCAACCUCAGGAACAGUUAGACCCUUCCAUAGCAAAGCAGUGCGUUUGCUCACUUCACUCCCCUUCUCGGGUUAUUUUCAGCUGUCCCAGUGAUGCCAGGGCAGAGGCAGAGCAGGGCAUCCGAGACGCAUCUACUCCCGCAGACGUGGGUUCUGGCUGAAGCCGUGUGAUGGAACCACUUUGGACACGAGACAGGACUUCAAGUCUCCAGCUCCCAGGGGAGGCUCCGCACAUCAAUCUCAGGGAACGGGGGUCAAGCCCCACGCUUAGCACCCUAGCGGCGGCCCCUCCCCAGCUCCCAGGAGCACUUGACAGGCCUCGCCCACAGGGCUGGCGAGAGGUUCCGGCUGUGCAGGGGGUUGCUUCACUGCCCAGAAAGACACCCCAAGAAGACGGGACCAUCCGUCUUCUCUCUAACAAGUGACCAGACCAAGGAGUAAUCAAAUCACUACCCACAAACAAGAGCUGGGGCCCGGGGGCUGUGCCGCCGAAUUCCACCUGAAAUACCAUAAAGAAAUCACCAAAUUCCUCACCAAGUCCUCCAGGAACAGAAGAGCUGGGAACACGUCCCCAUUUAUUCGACGAGGCCAGCAUCGCUCUGACACCCACAGACAGAACCAAAAAUUGCAGGCCAGGAGUUCCCACCAUGGUACUGCGACUCUAGGAUGGGGUUUUGUCUCUGCUGCGGCUCAGGUGGCUGCGGAGACACGGCUUCCAUGUGCCGCAAAGGCGACCAAUUAAAAAAAAGAAAAAGGCAGUCCACUCUCUUUCUCUGUCUCUCUUUUGUUACUUUCUGGAGCACAUGGAGGUUCCCAGGCUACAGGCUGAAUCAGAGCUGUAGCCACUGGCCUACAACACAGGCACAACCAUGCCAGAUCCGAGCCGCGCCUGCGACCCACACCACAUCUCACGGCAACGCCGGAUCCUGAACCCACUCAGCGAGGUCACGGAUGGGACAUGCGUCCUCACGUGUACGAGUCAGAUUCGUCUCCCCUGGGCCACGGCAGGAACUCCCAACAACUCCUUUAAUAUGGACACCAAAAUCCUCCAGGGGUUCGUCGGCCAACCCUCCUUAGCCAAACGCCCGCGGUGCCGAGAGCAGCUCAGCAGGAUGGGGCUGAAGAACGGGCGCUGUGACACUUAAGGAAGAACGUGAACACAAACCAAGACACGGAGACAUUGAGUAAAGGCGGGAACCGGGGGACCCAAGGUCUCAGGGACCAAGAGCCCCCCUCAAGAAACCCCACUGCUCUUAUUGUGCUGUUGAGGAUGAGGGCGAGUGAGGCGGGGGCUAUGGGUGCAGGAUAUGGGGUUUGUUUAUUAUUGCAUAAGUUCUUUUAUUAUUGUAAAAGUCACUUGGCUGGUAGAAGGUUAAGCUUUUACUCUGACCUUUAGGCACAUAACUAUCAUUAGCAUUGGAGUUAGAGACCUAUGCAGAGCAUUCCAGAGACUCCUCCCUGUGCUUCCGCAAAGGGCACGCCUAUUUGCGGCAACCGGGCAUGCCUAAGUUGGCACCUUGGUUCUCUUUGCUGAUGCAGAGUCUGCUAAGGACCGCUCCUAAACCACCUGGCCAGGAGAUUCCUCUUUCUCUUAUCCCUUAGAGGCUGUAUCAUGCUUGUGCAAACGGCGUGCCCAUCUGCACAGGUCCGACGUGCCUGGACCAACGCAUUACGUCCUCAUUCAGCUGACCCUACGGAUAACUCAUGCCUUUAGGUCUUUGUUCUUAAGCUUAAGUCAUUCACCGGCACUGCGACUGCUUUUCAAGCAGGAAGAUGGGGUAAAGUAAAGCAGGACAAGAUGGAGUUUUCAGCAAAGUG